CUGGUCGCUGAACAGGGCCGGCAAAGUCAAGGGGCGCCGCUUCUUGGCGCUCCUCGUAUCUAUGUUGCUCAACGGAGGAUGUAGCUAUGAGAA
Molecule: small RNA, 93 nt
Filed under: Manganibacter manganicus
Lineage: Bacteria; Pseudomonadati; Pseudomonadota; Alphaproteobacteria; Hyphomicrobiales; Phyllobacteriaceae
Description: Pseudaminobacter manganicus Repression of heat shock gene expression (ROSE) element
Rfam family: Repression of heat shock gene expression (ROSE) element
About the family: This family represents a 5' UTR cis-regulatory element found in heat shock mRNAs and is known as the ROSE (repression of heat shock gene expression) element. The ROSE element is a negative regulator of heat shock gene expression. The secondary structure is thought to be regulated by temperature.
Source: Rfam by way of RNAcentral